RNAcentral lists this ribosomal RNA (468 nucleotides) under uncultured bacterium. RNAcentral describes it as "partial 16S ribosomal RNA". It matches the Rfam family "Bacterial small subunit ribosomal RNA", at positions 28 to 507 of the family's 1533-position model. The record is from RNAcentral.
GACGAACGCUGGCGGCGUGCUUAACACAUGCAAGUCGAACGGAAAGGCCCUGCUUUUGUGGGGUGCUCGAGUGGCGAACGGGUGAGUAACACGUGUGUAUCCUGCCCUUAACUUUGGGAUAACUUCAGGAAACUGGGGCUAAUACCGGAUAGGAGCUCCUGCAGCAUGGUGGGGGUUGGAAAGAUUCGGCGGUUGGGGAUGGACUCGCGGCUUAUCAGCUUCUUGGUGGGGUAGUGGCUUACCAAGCCUUCGACGGAUAGCCGGCCUGAGAGGGUGACCGGCGACAAGGGGACUAAGAGACGGACCAGAAGCCAACGGGAGGCAGCAGUGGGGAAUAUGGCACAAUGGGCGGAAGUCUGAGGCAGCAACGUCGCGUGCGGGAUGACGGCCUUCGGGGGGUAAACCGCUGUCGACUGAGACGAAGCGUGAGUGACGGUAAUGGGUAAAGAAGCACCGGCUAACUACGUG